GACAUGCAGAGAACUUCCAGAGAUGGAUGGUGCCUUCGGGAACUCUGACACAGGUGCUGCAUGGCUGUCGUCAGCUCGUGUCGUGAGAUGGUUGGGUUAAGUCCCGUAACGAGCGCAACCCUUGUCCUUAGUUACCAGCACGUUAUGGUGGGCACUCUAAGGAGACUGCCGGUGACAAACCGGAGGAAGGUGGGGAUGACGUCAAGUCAUCAUGGCCCUUACGGCCUGGGCUACACACGUGCUACAAUGGUCGGUACAAAGGGUUGCCAAGCCGCGAGGUGGAGCUAAUCCCAUAAAACCGAUCGUAGUCCGGAUCGCAGUCUGCAACUCGACUGCGUGAAGUCGGAAUCGCUAGUAAUCGUGAAUCAGAAUGUCACGGUGAAUACGUUCCCGGGCCUU
RNAcentral lists this ribosomal RNA (399 nucleotides) under uncultured Pseudomonas sp. RNAcentral's name for it is "bacterial SSU rRNA". It matches the Rfam family "Bacterial small subunit ribosomal RNA", at positions 983 to 1382 of the family's 1533-position model. Lineage: Bacteria; Pseudomonadati; Pseudomonadota; Gammaproteobacteria; Pseudomonadales; Pseudomonadaceae. The record is from RNAcentral.